Molecule: non-coding RNA, 473 nt
Organism: Clupea harengus (Atlantic herring)
Lineage: Eukaryota; Metazoa; Chordata; Actinopteri; Clupeiformes; Clupeidae
Source: the annotation of a RefSeq genome assembly
GACUACAUAUUUAUCAGUUGAUAUUGCACCACUAACUUGUAACCAUGUACUUCAUACUUAAACUGAUUCUCUUAUUUCUCUGCAUAUGUGAUGGACUGUGUCAGACUCUGCGUGAGUCUGAAUCAGUGGUUCUUAAACCUGGAGACUCCCACAAACUGACCUGCACGUACUCUGGCUUUAGCAGUGAUCCUUAUGUAGGUUGGAUCAGACAAGCAGCUGGAAAAGGGCUGGAAUGGCUUUCUGUAAUAUACACCACAUCAACAUACUAUGCACAAACAGUUCAAGGAAGAUUCACUAUCUCCAGAGACAACAGCAUGAAGCAGGUGUAUCUGCAGAUGAACAGCCUGAAGACUGAGGACACGGCUGUGUAUUACUGUGCCCGAGAUGGGGGCAGCCGCUAUUUCGACUACUGGGGGGAAAGGAACUCAAGUGACGGGUGUCUUCUGUACCAUGUGACCAAUAUGGCGAGGUGA